Molecule: transfer RNA, 78 nt
Filed under: Caudoviricetes sp.
Lineage: Duplodnaviria; Heunggongvirae; Uroviricota; Caudoviricetes
Description: tRNA-Arg
Rfam family: tRNA
About the family: Transfer RNA (tRNA) molecules are approximately 80 nucleotides in length. Their secondary structure includes four short double-helical elements and three loops (D, anti-codon, and T loops).
Source: RNAcentral
GGCGGAUUAGUGAAAUGGUAUCAUGCUGGUUUCCUUAGCCAGAGUUUGGGGUUCGAUUCCCUAGUCCGCAAUUCCGCA